GUAGCAAACAAGGUGAUGAAACAUGAAAAGGAAGAUAGUUUACAUAAUAAUGGAAAAGGUUAUGAUGAAACCCCACCGGAUGAGAAUUUUGAUACAGAUAACUAUGUUGGCUCAGCCAAAGACUGGAUACUACCUGGGAUGGAUGAGGUUAACAUGAAGAGGCAUGUUAAUGGAGAAUCUACAUUUUUCCGAUGGAAUGAACUGACAGGCAAUGAUUUUAAGACAAAACGUAUUGAGGAGUGGGUUACAGACCUUCAGCAUUGCGGCAGAUUUGAAGAAAC
This 281-nucleotide unclassified non-coding RNA is filed under the name Hevea brasiliensis (rubber tree). Lineage: Eukaryota; Viridiplantae; Streptophyta; Magnoliopsida; Malpighiales; Euphorbiaceae. The record is from RNAcentral.